GGUUAAGCGACUAAGCGUACACGGUGGAUGCCCUGGCAGUCAGAGGCGAUGAAGGACGUGCUAAUCUGCGAAAAGCGUCGGUAAGGUGAUAUGAACCGUUAUAACCGGCGAUGUCCGAAUGGGGAAACCCAGUGCAAUUCGUUGCACUAUCGUUAACUGAAUACAUAGGUUAACGAGGCGAACCGGGGGAACUGAAACAUCUAAGUACCCCGAGGAAAAGAAAUCAACCGAGAUUCCCCCAGUAGCGGCGAGCGAACGGGGAGCAGCCCAGAGUCUGAAUCAGCUUGUGUGUUAGUGGAACGGUCUGGAAAGUCCGACGGUACAGGGUGAUAGUCCCGUACACCAAAAUGCACAGGUUGUGAACUCGAAGAGUAGGGCGGGACACGUGGUAUCCUGUCUGAAUAUGGGGGACCAUCCUCCAAGGCUAAAUACUCCUGACUGACCGAUAGUGAACCAGUACCGUGAGGGAAAGGCGAAAAGAACCCCGGCGAGGGGAGUGAAAAAGAACCUGAAACCGUGUACGUACAAGCAGUGGGAGCACCUUCGGGUGUGACUGCGUACCUUUUGUAUAAUGGGUCAGCGACUUAUAUUCUGUAGCAAGGUUAACCGUAUAGGGGAGCCGCAGGGAAACCGAGUCUUAACUGGGCGUUAAGUUGCAGGGUAUAGACCCGAAACCCGGUGAUCUAGCCAUGGGCAGGUUGAAGGUUGGGUAACACUAACUGGAGGACCGAACCGACUAAUGUUGAAAAAUUAGCGGAUGACUUGUGGCUGGGGGUGAAAGGCCAAUCAAACCGGGAGAUAGCUGGUUCUCCCCGAAAGCUAUUUAGGUAGCGCCUCGUGAAUUCAUCUUCGGGGGUAGAGCACUGUUUCGGCUAGGGGGUCAUCCCGACUUACCAACCCGAUGCAAACUACGAAUACCGAAGAAUGUUAUCACGGGAGACACACGGCGGGUGCUAACGUCCGUCGUGAAGAGGGAAACAACCCAGACCGCCAGCUAAGGUCCCAAAGUCAUGGUUAAGUGGGAAACGAUGUGGGAAGGCACAGACAGCCAGGAUGUUGGCUUAGAAGCAGCCAUCAUUUAAAGAAAGCGUAAUAGCUCACUGGUCGAGUCGGCCUGCGCGGAAGAUGUAACGGGGCUAAACCAUGCACCGAAGCUGCGGCAGCGACACUAUGUGUUGUUGGGUAGGGGAGCGUUCUGUAAGCCUGCGAAGGUGUGCUGUGAGGCAUGCUGGAGGUAUCAGAAGUGCGAAUGCUGACAUAAGUAACGAUAAAGCGGGUGAAAAGCCCGCUCGCCGGAAGACCAAGGGUUCCUGUCCAACGUUAAUCGGGGCAGGGUGAGUCGACCCCUAAGGCGAGGCCGAAAGGCGUAGUCGAUGGGAAACAGGUUAAUAUUCCUGUACUUGGUGUUACUGCGAAGGGGGGACGGAGAAGGCUAUGUUAGCCGGGCGACGGUUGUCCCGGUUUAAGCAUGUAGGCUGGUUAUCCAGGCAAAUCCGGAUAAUCAAGGCUGAGGUGUGAUGACGAGGCACUACGGUGCUGAAGUAACAAAUGCCCUGCUUCCAGGAAAAGCCUCUAAGCAUCAGGUAACAUCAAAUCGUACCCCAAACCGACACAGGUGGUCAGGUAGAGAAUACCAAGGCGCUUGAGAGAACUCGGGUGAAGGAACUAGGCAAAAUGGUGCCGUAACUUCGGGAGAAGGCACGCUGGUGUGUAGGUGAAGUCCCUGCGGAUGGAGCUGAGACCAGUCGAAGAUACCAGCUGGCUGCAACUGUUUAUUAAAAACACAGCACUGUGCAAACACGAAAGUGGACGUAUACGGUGUGACGCCUGCCCGGUGCCGGAAGGUUAAUUGAUGGGGUUAUCCGUAAGGAGAAGCUCUUGAUCGAAGCCCCGGUAAACGGCGGCCGUAACUAUAACGGUCCUAAGGUAGCGAAAUUCCUUGUCGGGUAAGUUCCGACCUGCACGAAUGGCGUAAUGAUGGCCAGGCUGUCUCCACCCGAGACUCAGUGAAAUUGAACUCGCUGUGAAGAUGCAGUGUACCCGCGGCAAGACGGAAAGACCCCGUGAACCUUUACUAUAGCUUGACACUGAACAUUGAGCCUUGAUGUGUAGGAUAGGUGGGAGGCUUUGAAGCGUGGACGCCAGUCUGCGUGGAGCCAACCUUGAAAUACCACCCUUUAAUGUUUGAUGUUCUAACGUUGGCCCCUGACCGGGGUUGCGGACAGUGUCUGGUGGGUAGUUUGACUGGGGCGGUCUCCUCCCAAAGCGUAACGGAGGAGCACGAAGGUUAGCUAAUCCUGGUCGGACAUCAGGAGGUUAGUGCAAUGGCAUAAGCUAGCUUGACUGCGAGCGUGACGGCGCGAGCAGGUGCGAAAGCAGGUCAUAGUGAUCCGGUGGUUCUGAAUGGAAGGGCCAUCGCUCAACGGAUAAAAGGUACUCCGGGGAUAACAGGCUGAUACCGCCCAAGAGUUCAUAUCGACGGCGGUGUUUGGCACCUCGAUGUCGGCUCAUCACAUCCUGGGGCUGAAGUAGGUCCCAAGGGUAUGGCUGUUCGCCAUUUAAAGUGGUACGCGAGCUGGGUUUAGAACGUCGUGAGACAGUUCGGUCCCUAUCUGCCGUGGGCGCUGGAGAAUUGAGGGGGGCUGCUCCUAGUACGAGAGGACCGGAGUGGACGCAUCACUGGUGUUCGGGUUGUCAUGCCAAUGGCACUGCCCGGUAGCUAAAUGCGGAAGAGAUAAGUGCUGAAAGCAUCUAAGCACGAAACUUGCCCCGAGAUGAGUUCUCCCUGAGACUUUAAGUCUCCUGAAGGAACGUUGAAGACGACGACGUUGAUAGGCCGGGUGUGUAAGCGCAGCGAUGCGUUGAGCUAACCGGUACUAAUGAACCGUGAGGCUUAACCUU
RNAcentral lists this ribosomal RNA (2901 nucleotides) under Klebsiella pneumoniae. RNAcentral describes it as "23S ribosomal RNA". It matches the Rfam family "Bacterial large subunit ribosomal RNA". Lineage: Bacteria; Pseudomonadati; Pseudomonadota; Gammaproteobacteria; Enterobacterales; Enterobacteriaceae. The record is from RNAcentral.